UACAGAGGUCUCAAGCGUUGUUCGGAUUCAUUGGGCGUAAAGGGUGCGUAGGCGGCGCGGUAAGUCGGGUGUGAAAUCUCGGGGCUUAACUCCGAAACUGCAUUCGAUACUGCCGUGCUUGAGGACUGGAGAGGAGACUGGAAUUUACGGUGUAGCGGUGAAAUGCGUAGAUAUCGGAAGGAAGACCAGUGGCGAAGGCGGGUCUCUGGACAGUUACUGACGCUGAGGCCCGAAGGCCAGGGGAGCAAACGGG
Molecule: ribosomal RNA, 253 nt
Filed under: uncultured bacterium
Lineage: Bacteria
Description: partial 16S ribosomal RNA
Rfam family: Bacterial small subunit ribosomal RNA
Source: RNAcentral